UUCAUGGCAUCAGCAUCUAGUCAUGGGCUCCACUGUUCUUGAACCAGUCCUCACCAAGAUGUCAGUAAGAGUAGUGUCAGUGACCUGUGUGAAUGCACCAAGAAGAGAGCAAAGCGAGUAUUCAAGCCCCCAACUUACUGCAGGAUACCUGCACAUCUCUGGAAUAUAGGCAAUCCUAUGAAGAGUGUUCCUGAACCAGCUGUGAGCUGUCAGGCUUUUAACUAUUUGGAGCAAUUGAUUUGCAAUUUUGUUGAGCUCACUCUUAAAUAUCUGCCACAGCCACA
Molecule: non-coding RNA, 284 nt
Organism: Microcebus murinus (gray mouse lemur)
Lineage: Eukaryota; Metazoa; Chordata; Mammalia; Primates; Cheirogaleidae
Source: RefSeq, a predicted model, not a curated record